Dipodomys ordii (Ord's kangaroo rat) is the source of this 111-nucleotide ribosomal RNA. Lineage: Eukaryota; Metazoa; Chordata; Mammalia; Rodentia; Heteromyidae. The record is from Ensembl.
GUCUACGGCUAUACCACCCUGAAUGCACUUGAUCUCAUCUGCUCUCUGACCAAGCAGGACUGGUUAAUGCUUAGAUAGGAGACUGCCUGGGAAUACUGGAUGCUGUAGGUA